Molecule: ribosomal RNA, 644 nt
Filed under: uncultured Dokdonia sp.
Lineage: Bacteria; Pseudomonadati; Bacteroidota; Flavobacteriia; Flavobacteriales; Flavobacteriaceae
Description: bacterial SSU rRNA
Rfam family: Bacterial small subunit ribosomal RNA
Source: RNAcentral
GGCGGUAUAAGAUGACUAUGCGUUCUAUUAGUUUGUUGGUAAGGUAACGGCUUACCAAGACUACGAUAGAUAGGGGUCCUGAGAGGGAGAUCCCCCACACUGGUACUGAGACACGGACCAGACUCCUACGGGAGGCAGCAGUGAGGAAUAUUGGACAAUGGAGGCAACUCUGAUCCAGCCAUGCCGCGUGUAGGAAGACUGCCCUAUGGGUUGUAAACUACUUUUAUAUGGGAAGAAUAAGGUCUACGUGUAGACUGAUGACGGUACCAUAAGAAUAAGCACCGGCUAACUCCGUGCCAGCAGCCGCGGUAAUACGGAGGGUGCAAGCGUUAUCCGGAAUCAUUGGGUUUAAAGGGUCCGUAGGCGGGCAUAUAAGUCAGUGGUGAAAGUCUGUGGCUCAACCAUAGAAUUGCCAUUGAUACUGUAUGUCUUGAAUUAUUGUGAAGUGGUUAGAAUAUGUAGUGUAGCGGUGAAAUGCUUAGAGAUUACAUAGAAUACCGAUUGCGAAGGCAGAUCACUAACAAUAUAUUGACGCUGAUGGACGAAAGCGUAGGUAGCGAACAGGAUUAGAUACCCUGGUAGUCUACGCCGUAAACGAUGGAUACUAGUUGUUUGGUUUUCGGACUGAGUGACUAAGCGAAAGU